UUUUUGUCGAGCCUGCGACUUUUGUCGCAGAAAGCUCGACAUAGGGAUAGCGAUCCGGCGGCGGCGGCUACGGCGGCGGCGGCGGCGGCGGCGUUAGCUAACUUCUAAAAAGCUUUAUAUUUUAGAAGGUGGAAGGUCUGGAUGCUUCAUACUUUGUAUAUGGAUGCCUCAUGUUACGAAGUUUCCGUCAGUUACAUGUCCAAUGUCCUUGACCUCAUUUUCAUGGUUCAGUGACUACUUGAAAAAAAAGUUCAGAUUUUUUGUAAUGUUAAAUUCUCUCUUAUUAUAAGUAAUAGGAUAACUAUAUUUGGUAUGUGCGUACCUUGCAAGGUCCUCAUGCCCGUCAGACAGUUUUCACUUGACCUCGACCUCAUUUCAUGGAUCAGUGAACAAGGUUAAGUUUUCGUGGUCAAGUCCAUAUCUCAGAUACUAUAAGCAAUAGGUCUAGUAUAUUCGGUGUAUGGAAGGACUGUAAGGUGUACAUGUCCAACUGGCAGGUGUCAUCUGACCUUGACCUCAUUUUCAUGGUUCAGUGGUUAUAGUUAAGUUUUUGUGUUUUGGUCUGUUUUUCUUAUACUGUAUGCAAUAGGUCUACUAUAUUUGGUGUAUGGAAUGAUUGUAAGGUGUACAUGUCUAGCUGGCAGGUGUCAUCUGACCUUGACCUCAUUUUCAUGGUUCAGUGGUCAAAGUUAAGUUUUUGAGUUUUGGUCUUUUUUUCUAAUACUGCAUGCAAUAGGUCAGCUAUAUUUGGUGUAUGGAAUGAUUGUAAGGUGUACAUGUCUAGCUGGCAGGUGUCAUCUUACCUUGACCUCAUUUUCAUGGUUCAGUGGUCAAAGUUAAGUUUUUGAGUUUUGGUCUUUUUUUCUAAUACUAUAUGCAAUAGUUCAACUAUAUUUGGUGUAUGGAAAUAUUUUAUGAUCUAUAUGUCAGUCACGCAGGUUUUAUUUGACCUUGACCUCAUUUUCAAGGUUCAUUGCUCAGUGUUAAGUUUUUGUGUUUUCGUCUGUGUUUCUUAAACUAUAAGCAAUAGGUCAACUAUAUUUGUUGUAUGGAAGAAUUGUUAGCUGUACAUGUCUGCCUAGCAUGGUUCAUCUGACCUUGACCUCAUUUUCAUGGUUCAUUGGUCAAUGUUUAGUUUACUUGGUUAAUGUUAAGUUUAUGUGACAGUUGUAAUAAAGCUUUAUAUUUAGGACUAUCAACAUAAUAUCAAUGAUUAGUAAAGAAGGCGAGACAUUUCAGCGUGUGCACUCUUGUGGUUUAUAUCUCUGAAACUAAAGCAUUUAGAGCAAAUCUGACAGAUGGCAAAUAUGUUCAUCAGAUUUAGAUUUAUCUGCCCUGAAAUUAUCAGACAAAUCCGACAACCCGUUGUUGGGUUACUGCCCCUGAGUUAGUAAUUUUACAAAAAUUUUGCAGUUUUUGUCGAGCCUGCGACUUUUGUCGCAGAAAGCUCGACAUAGGGAUAGCGAUCCGGCGGCGGCGGCUACGGCGGCGGCGGCGGCGGCGGCGUUAGCUCACUUCUUAAAAGCUUUAUAUUUUAGAAGGUGGAAGGUCUGGAUGCUUCAUACUUUGUAUAUGGAUGCCUCAUGUUACGAAGUUUCCGUCAGUCACAUGUCCAAUGUCCUUGACCUCAUUUUCAUGGUUCAGUGACUACUUGAAAAAAAAGUUCAGAUUUUUUGUAAUGUUAGAUUCUCUCUUAUUAUAAGUAAUAAGAUAACUAUAUUUGGUAUGUGCGUACCUUGCAAGGUCCUCAUGCCCGUCAGACAGUUUUCACUUGACCUCGACCUCAUUUCAUGGAUCAGUGAACAAGGUUAAGUUUUGGUGGUCAAGUCCAUAUCUCAGAUACUAUAAGCAAUAGGUCUAGUAUAUUCGGUGUAUGGAAGGACUGUAAGGUGUACAUGUCCAACUGGCAGGUGUCAUCUGACCUUGACCUCAUUUUCAUGGUUCAGUGGUCAAAGUUAAGUUUUUGAGUUUUGGUCUUUUUUUCUAAUACUAUGUGCAAUAGUUCAACUAUAUUUGGUAUGUGCGUACCUUGCAAGGUCCUCAUGCCCGUCAGACAGUUUUCACUUGACCUCGACCUCAUUUCAUGGAUCAGUGAACAAGGUUAAGUUUUGGUGGUCAAGUCCAUAUCUCAGAUACUAUAAGCAAUAGGUCUAGUAUAUUCGGUGUAUGGAAGGACUGUAAGGUGUACAUGUCCAACUGGCAGGUGUCAUCUGACCUUGACCUCAUUUUCAUGGUUCAGUGGUUAUAGUUAAGUUUUUGUGUUUUGGUCUGUUUUUCUUAUACUGUAUGCCAUAGGUCUACUAUAUUUGGUGUAUGGAAUGAUUGUAAGGUGUACAUGUCUAGCGGGCAGGUGUCAUCUGACCUUGACCUUAUUUUCAUGGUUCAGUGGUCAAAGUUAAGUUUUUGAGUUUUGGUCUUUUUUUCUAAUACUAUGUGCAAUAGUUCAACUAUAUUUGGUAUGUGCGUACCUUGCAAGGUCCUCAUGCCCUUCAGACAGUUUUCACUUGACCUCGACCUCAUUUCAUGGAUCAAUGAACAAGGUUAAGUUUUCGUGGUCAAGUCCAUAUAUCAGAUACUAUAAGCAGUAGGUCUACUAUAUUUGGUAUAUGGAAUGAUUGAAAGGUGUACAUGUCCAACUGGUAGGUGUCAUCUGACCUUGACCUCAUUUUCAUGGUUCAGUGGUCAAAGUUAAGUUUUUGAGUUUUGGUCUUUUUUUCUAAUACUAUAUGCAAUAGGUCAACUAUAUUUAGUAUGUGCGUACCUUGCAAGGUCCUCAUGCCCGUCAGACAAUUUUCAUUUGUCCUCGACCUCAUUUCAUGGAUCAGUGAACAAGGUUAAGUUUUCGUGGUCAAGUCCAUAUAUCAGAUACUAUAAGCAGUAGGGCUACUAUAUUUGGUAUAUGGAAUGAUUGUAAGGUGUACAUGUCCAACUGGUAGGUGUCAUCUGACCUUGACCUCAUUUUCAUGGUUCAGUGGUCAAAGUUAAGUUUUUGAGUUUUGGUUUUUUUUUCUAAUACUAUAUGCAAUAGGUCAACUAUAUUUAGUAUGUGCGUACCUUGCAAGGUCCUCAUGCCCGUCAGACAAUUUUCAUUUGUCCUCGACCUCAUUUCAUGGAUCAGUGAACAAGGUUAAGUUUUCGUGGUCAAGUCCAUAUAUCAGAUACUAUAAGCAGUAGGGCUACUAUAUUUGGUAUAUGGAAUGAUUGUAAGGUGUACAUGUCCAACUGGUAGGUGUCAUCUGACCUUGACCUCAUUUUCAUGGUUCAGUGGUCAAAGUUAAGUUUUUGAGUUUUGGUCUUUUUUUCUAAUACUAUAUGCAAUAGGUCAACUAUAUUUAGUAUGUGCGUACCUUGCAAGGUCCUCAUGCCCGUCAGACAAUUUUCAUUUGUCCUCGACCUCAUUUCAUGGAUCAGUGAACAAGGUUAAGUUUUCGUGGUCAAGUCCAUAUAUCAGAUACUAUAAGCAGUAGGGCUACUAUAUUUGGUAUAUGGAAUGAUUGUAAGGUGUACAUGUCCAACUGGUAGGUGUCAUCUGACCUUGACCUCAUUUUCAUGGUUCAGUGGUCAAAGUUAAGUUUUUGAGUUUUGGUCUUUUUUUCUAAUACUAUAUGCAAUAGGUCAACUAUAUUUAGUAUGUGCGUACCUUGCAAGGUCCUCAUGCCCGUCAGACAAUUUUCAUUUGUCCUCGACCUCAUUUCAUGGAUCAGUGAACAAGGUUAAGUUUUCGUGGUCAAGUCCAUAUAUCAGAUACUAUAAGCAGUAGGGCUACUAUAUUUGGUAUAUGGAAUGAUUGUAAGGUGUACAUGUCCAACUGGUAGGUGUCAUCUGACCUUGACCUCAUUUUCAUGGUUCAGUGGUCAAAGUUAAGUUUUUGAGUUUUGGUCUUUUUUUCUAAUACUAUAUGCAAUAGGUCAACUAUAUUUGGUGUAUGGAAAUAUUUUAUGAUGUACAUGUCAGUCUCGCAGGUUUUAUUUGACCUUGACCUCAUUUCCACGGAUCAUUUCUCAGUGUUUAGUUUUUGUGUUUUGGUCUGUUUUUCUUCAACUAUAAGCAAUAGAUCAACUAUAUUUGUUGUAUGGAAGGAUUGUAAGGUGUAUAUGUCUGUCUGGCAGGUAUCAUCUGACCUUGACCUCAUUUUCAUGGUUCAUUGGUCAAUAUUUAGUUUUCUUGGUUAAGACUGUUUCUUAGAAACUAUAAGCAAUAGGUCAACUAUGUUUGGUUUAUUGAAUGAUUGUAAGGUGUACAUGUAUUUCUCGUUUGGUUUAUCUGACCUUGACCUCAUUUUCUUGGAUCAUGUUAAGUUUAUGUGUUACUUGUAGUAAAGCUUUCAUUUAGGACUAUCAACAUAAAAUCAAUGGUUAGUAAAGAAGGCGAGACAUUUCAGUGUGUGCACUCU
This is a long non-coding RNA of Mytilus californianus (California mussel), 4393 nucleotides long. RefSeq lists it as uncharacterized. The transcript has 4 exons. The record is from RefSeq and is a predicted model, not a curated record. Lineage: Eukaryota; Metazoa; Mollusca; Bivalvia; Mytilida; Mytilidae.